AUUGAACGCUGGCGGUAGGCCUAACACAUGCAAGUCGAACGGCAGCACAGUAAGAGCUUGCUAUUACUGGUGGCGAGUGGCGUACGGGUGCGGAAUACAUCGGAAGCUACUUGUUCGUGGGGGAUAACGUAGGGAAACUCACGCUAAUACCUCAUACGACCUACGGGUGAAAGCAGGGCAUCUUCUGACCUUGCGCGAUUGAAUGAGCCGAUGUCGGAUUAGCUAGUUGGCGGGGUAAAGGCCCACCAAGGCGACGAUCCGUAGCUGGUCUGAGAGGAUGAUCAGCCACACUGGAACUGAGACACGGUCCAGACUCCUACGGGAGGCAGCAGUGGGGAAUAUUGGACAAUGGGCGCAAGCCUGAUCCAGCCAUACCGCGUGGGUGAAGAAGGCCUUCGGGUUGUAAAGCCCUUUUGUUGGGAAAGAAAAGCAGCAGGUUAAUACCCCGCUGUUCUGACGGUACCCAAAGAAUAAGCACCGGCUAACUUCGUG
RNAcentral lists this ribosomal RNA (492 nucleotides) under uncultured bacterium. RNAcentral's name for it is "partial 16S ribosomal RNA". It matches the Rfam family "Bacterial small subunit ribosomal RNA", at positions 30 to 507 of the family's 1533-position model. The record is from RNAcentral.